CGUCAUGGCAGAGAAGAGGGCUGCGUCUGGGCAAUCACUGUUGUUUUUACUAAUUUCGGUGACUCUAUUACAUUUGUUAAUUUGUCCUUUUACAAAAGUUGAAGAGAGUUUCAACUUACAGGCAGUGCAUGAUAUUCUUUAUCACAGACUUGAUUUUGAAAAGUAUGACCACCAUGAUUUCCCUGGUGUGGUGUCAUGGACAUUCCUUGGACCUGUAUUCUUAUCAACGGUCUGCUCCCCACUAAUCUACCUGCUGUCACUACUGGAGGCUUCCAAAUUCUACACACAACUGAUGGGCGAGGUUGCCUGGGAGUGUGUGUGACGUUAGCUCUAUGGCGCAUGCAGAGGGAGGUUCGGAGGCAGUUUGGGUCGACAGUUGCGGGACUAUUCUCUCACCUGCGCCUCACAGUUCCAUCUCAUGUUCUACAGCACGAGACCCCUCCCCAAUGUAUUUGCACUGCCAAUAGAUCAGAACUGUCUCUCUACCUGGGUCUGAUGCUGCUCAUGUCAUUACUGAGCAGAAGGCUAGGGAUCCUUCAACUGCUCUACUAUGCCAUUCCUGCAGGUGCUCUUUCACUAGCUUUGACUGUCGGCAUUGACUCAUUCUUCUGGAAUAAGCUGAUUUGGCCCAAGGGCCAGGUACUCUGGUACAACACCAUCCUGAACAAGAGCUCCAACUGGGGAAUAUCCUUCACUUCACUCAAUGCCUGUUAUAAACUCAUAACAAUGUUCACAAAGUCAACUAAUUAAAUAAUUCAACACAGCUUUAGACACCUGCUUUUCCUUGAUCGAUUCUGAGUUAGUAUAAACGUUUGUGAUAAUAUUAUGAAAGUAAAGGGUUAAUUUUCCACUCAUCACGGAGAGCCCACUUUUGACCUGAAAACAACAACUUGCUACCUUUCCCUUUCCUUGACUUUCUCCCCCAGUAAACCGCCCCCUUUCUGUGGUACUUCUACUCUGCUCUGCCCCGUGCUCUGGGCUGCGCAGUGCUGUUCGUCCCCUUAGGCCUGCUGGACAGACGGACACGCACCCUGCUGCUGCCUACUGUAGGAUUUAUCCUGCUUUACUCGUUCCUGCCCCAUAAGGAGCUACGCAUUAUCCUCUACACCUUCCCUGUGCUGAAUAUAGUGGCCGCACGGGGCUGCUCCUUAAUGGGACAUGUGGAAUGGACCUUAAAAAAAGUAUGAUUCUUGGUCCUACAGUCUGAACAAAUACCACAAAUCUUGGAUGUAUAAACUUGGCUCCUUAAUCGUGGUUGGCCAGUUGGUGACAAAUGCUGCAUACUCCAGCAUAUCUCUGUACGUGUCCCAUCACAACUACCCUGGAGGCCGGGGGGUGCAGGUACUGCAUAAACUAGUACCAUCUACAUCAGGUAUGACAAGAGAGAAGACAUUGGCCCUGGACACCCUGAUAUGAAGACAUACUCCCAUGUUCUGAUGGAGGCCAAUGGCACCCACAUAGCACUACUCAGACGCCCACGGGCCUUUGGCCUUCAUCCAAGGUUACAGCAACAUAACGUUGAAUGCCUUUCUUCAGUAUAAACCUGGGAGACAAACUGGUGUUGCUAGAAAGAGUACCUGACCCUCCCAGUUGAACUGAGGAAAGUGAUGUAGUUUUUCAGGAUUUGGUAUUUUAUGACCAUAUUGUAAAUAACUAAAACUAAAUUGCAGUGUAUAGAGUUCUGUUUUCAAUCACUCUUUUGGGAUAUAAGUUGGUUGGAACCAGAUAUUGGUAGGAUACACUGAUAGGAUCACCUGCUUUGUCAUUUACAUAUAAAAAAUAAAAUAAAGUCUGGCUAGGCUAGCUUAGAUCUCCAUUCACAUGCAAAGUGUAUACAGGCCUUUCAUUACUUCAACUGAAAAUGAUCCAUAUCCUCCAAUUUUACUCCACCAAACCAGGUAACUGGUUUAAUGUCUAACACUUCCUCCAAACGAAGUGGUCAGAUAACCCCAGUGCAAUAACUGCCAUCCUUCAAAACAGUGUUUUUUUUAUCUGAAAUAAGUUCAAAGAACUCAUUAUGCUAGUUCUCCAUUUAAUGUUUUGUAUGUAUUUAUAGUUUCCUAUAUGAACAAAACCGCUCAUUGUGAGCUUUGGAAUAAAACUGAAGAGGAAAUGUU
Molecule: long non-coding RNA, 2117 nt
Organism: Salvelinus fontinalis (brook trout)
Lineage: Eukaryota; Metazoa; Chordata; Actinopteri; Salmoniformes; Salmonidae
Exons: 7
Source: RefSeq, a predicted model, not a curated record